GAUGAACGCUGGCGGCGUGCCUAAUACAUGCAAGUCGAGCGAACAGACGAGAGUGCUUGCACUCUCUGACGUUAGCGGCGGACGGGUGAGUAACACGUGGGUAACCUACCUAUAAGACUGGGAUAACUUCGGGAGACCGGAGCUAAUACCGGAUAAUAUUUAGCUUCGCAUGAAGCAAUAGUGAAAGACGGUUCUGCUGUCACUUAUAGAUGGACCCGCGGUGUAUUAGCUAGUUGGUGAGGUAACGGCUCACCAAGGCAACGAUACAUAGCCGACCUGAGAGGGUGAUCGGCCACACUGGGACUGAGACACGGCCCAGACUCCUACGGGAGGCAGCAGUAGGGAAUCUUCCGCAAUGGACGAAAGUCUGGCGGAGCAAUGCCGCGUGAGUGAAGAAGGUUUUCGGAUCGUAAAACUCUGUUGUAAGGGAAGAACAAGUACGUUAGUAACUGAACGUACCUUGACGGUACCUUACCAGAAAGCCACGGCUAACUACGUG
Molecule: ribosomal RNA, 499 nt
Filed under: uncultured bacterium
Lineage: Bacteria
Description: partial 16S ribosomal RNA
Rfam family: Bacterial small subunit ribosomal RNA
Source: RNAcentral